AUAAUAUAAAAUAAUAUUUAAAGUUAUCUUGUGACAUUUGAUGGCAGCUGACAUCAUUUCCUAGACCUGGGUUAUCUUGUGACUUUUGAUGGCAGCUGACAGCAUUUCCUGGACCUGGGUAUACUGGUGUUUAUGUUCAUCAUCAAAAUAUGGGUUAUCUUGUGACACUUGAUGGCAGCUGAAAGCAUUUCCUGGACCUGGGUAUACUGGUGUUUAUGUUCAUCAUCAAAAUAUAGGUUAUCUUGUGACUUUUGAUGGCAGCUGACAGCAUUUCCUGGACCUGGGUAUACUGGUGUUUAUGUUCAUCAUCAAAAUAUAGGU
Molecule: long non-coding RNA, 321 nt
Organism: Aphidius gifuensis
Lineage: Eukaryota; Metazoa; Arthropoda; Insecta; Hymenoptera; Braconidae
Exons: 4
Source: RefSeq, a predicted model, not a curated record